UUAAGCGACUAAGCGUACACGGUGGAUGCCCUGGCAGUCAGAGGCGAUGAAGGACGUGCUAAUCUGCGAAAAGCGCCGGCGAGGUGAUAUGAACCCUUGACCCGGCGAUGUCCGAAUGGGGAAACCCAGUGCAAUCCGUUGCACUAUCGUUAACUGAAUACAUAGGUUAACGAGGCGAACCGGGGGAACUGAAACAUCUAAGUACCCCGAGGAAAAGAAAUCAACCGAGAUUCCCCCAGUAGCGGCGAGCGAACGGGGAGCAGCCCGGAGUCUGAAUCAGCUUGUGUGUUAGUGGAACGGUCUGGAAAGUCCGACGGUACAGGGUGAUAGUCCCGUACACGAAAGCACACAUGCUGUGAACUCGAAGAGUAGGGCGGGACACGUGGUAUCCUGUCUGAAUAUGGGGGGACCAUCCUCCAAGGCUAAAUACUCCUGACUGACCGAUAGUGAACCAGUACCGUGAGGGAAAGGCGAAAAGAACCCCGGCGAGGGGAGUGAAAAAGAACCUGAAACCGUGUACGUACAAGCAGUGGGAGCCUCUUUUAUGGGGUGACUGCGUACCUUUUGUAUAAUGGGUCAGCGACUUAUAUUCUGUAGCAAGGUUAACCGUAUAGGGGAGCCGAAGGGAAACCGAGUCUUAACUGGGCGUUAAGUUGCAGGGUAUAGACCCGAAACCCGGUGAUCUAGCCAUGGGCAGGUUGAAGGUUGGGUAACACUAACUGGAGGACCGAACCGACUAAUGUUGAAAAAUUAGCGGAUGACCUGUGGCUGGGGGUGAAAGGCCAAUCAAACCGGGAGAUAGCUGGUUCUCCCCGAAAGCUAUUUAGGUAGCGCCUCGUGAAUUCAUCUUCGGGGGUAGAGCACUGUUUCGGCUAGGGGGCCAUCCCGGCUUACCAACCCGAUGCAAACUACGAAUACCGAAGAAUGUUAUCACGGGAGACACACGGCGGGUGCUAACGUCCGUCGUGAAGAGGGAAACAACCCAGACCGCCAGCUAAGGUCCCAAAGUCAUGGUUAAGUGGGAAACGAUGUGGGAAGGCACAGACAGCCAGGAUGUUGGCUUAGAAGCAGCCAUCAUUUAAAGAAAGCGUAAUAGCUCACUGGUCGAGUCGGCCUGCGCGGAAGAUGUAACGGGGCUAAACCAUGCACCGAAGCUGCGGCAGCGACACUAUGUGUUGUUGGGUAGGGGAGCGUUCUGUAAGCCGUUGAAGGUGUGCUGUGAGGCAUGCUGGAGGUAUCAGAAGUGCGAAUGCUGACAUAAGUAACGAUAAAGCGGGUGAAAAGCCCGCUCGCCGGAAGACCAAGGGUUCCUGUCCAACGUUAAUCGGGGCAGGGUGAGUCGACCCCUAAGGCGAGGCCGAAAGGCGUAGUCGAUGGGAAACAGGUUAAUAUUCCUGUACUUGGUGUUACUGCGAAGGGGGGACGGAGAAGGCUAUGUCAGCCGGGCGACGGUUGUCCCGGUUUAAGCAUGUAGGCGGAGGUUCCAGGUAAAUCCGGUACCUUAUUAACGCUGAGGUGUGAUGACGAGGCACUACGGUGCUGAAGUGAUAAAUGCCCUGCUUCCAGGAAAAGCCUCUAAGCAUCAGGUAACACGAAAUCGUACCCCAAACCGACACAGGUGGUCAGGUAGAGAAUACCAAGGCGCUUGAGAGAACUCGGGUGAAGGAACUAGGCAAAAUGGUGCCGUAACUUCGGGAGAAGGCACGCUGAUGUGUAGGUGAAGCCCCUGCGGGUGGAGCUGAAAUCAGUCGAAGAUACCAGCUGGCUGCAACUGUUUAUUAAAAACACAGCACUGUGCAAACACGAAAGUGGACGUAUACGGUGUGACGCCUGCCCGGUGCCGGAAGGUUAAUUGAUGGGGUUAGCGGCAACGCGAAGCUCUUGAUCGAAGCCCCGGUAAACGGCGGCCGUAACUAUAACGGUCCUAAGGUAGCGAAAUUCCUUGUCGGGUAAGUUCCGACCUGCACGAAUGGCGUAAUGAUGGCCAGGCUGUCUCCACCCGAGACUCAGUGAAAUUGAACUCGCUGUGAAGAUGCAGUGUACCCGCGGCAAGACGGAAAGACCCCGUGAACCUUUACUAUAGCUUGACACUGAACACUGGUCCUUGAUGUGUAGGAUAGGUGGGAGGCUUUGAAGCGUGGACGCCAGUCUGCGUGGAGCCAACCUUGAAAUACCACCCUUUAAUGGCUGGUGUUCUAACGUGGACCCGUUACCCGGGUUGCGGACAGUGUCUGGUGGGUAGUUUGACUGGGGCGGUCUCCUCCCAAAGAGUAACGGAGGAGCACGAAGGUUGGCUAAUCCUGGUCGGACAUCAGGAGGUUAGUGCAAUGGCAUAAGCCAGCUUGACUGCGAGCGUGACGGCGCGAGCAGGUGCGAAAGCAGGUCAUAGUGAUCCGGUGGUUCUGAAUGGAAGGGCCAUCGCUCAACGGAUAAAAGGUACUCCGGGGAUAACAGGCUGAUACCGCCCAAGAGUUCAUAUCGACGGCGGUGUUUGGCACCUCGAUGUCGGCUCAUCACAUCCUGGGGCUGAAGUAGGUCCCAAGGGUAUGGCUGUUCGCCAUUUAAAGUGGUACGCGAGCUGGGUUUAGAACGUCGUGAGACAGUUCGGUCCCUAUCUGCCGUGGGCGCUGGAGAAUUGAGGGGGGCUGCUCCUAGUACGAGAGGACCGGAGUGGACGCAUCACUGGUGUUCGGGUUGUCAUGCCAAUGGCACUGCCCGGUAGCUAAAUGCGGAAGAGAUAAGUGCUGAAAGCAUCUAAGCACGAAACUUGCCCCGAGAUGAGUUCUCCCUGAGACUUUAAGUCUCCUGAAGGAACGUUGAAGACGACGACGUUGAUAGGUCGGGUGUGUAAGCGCAGCGAUGCGUUGAGCUAACCGAUACUAAUGAACCGUGAGGCUUAACCUU
This 2904-nucleotide ribosomal RNA is filed under the name Enterobacter cloacae. RNAcentral describes it as "bacterial LSU rRNA". It matches the Rfam family "Bacterial large subunit ribosomal RNA". The record is from RNAcentral. Lineage: Bacteria; Pseudomonadati; Pseudomonadota; Gammaproteobacteria; Enterobacterales; Enterobacteriaceae. RNAcentral also lists the same sequence under 1 other name.